Molecule: ribosomal RNA, 460 nt
Filed under: uncultured bacterium
Lineage: Bacteria
Description: partial 16S ribosomal RNA
Rfam family: Bacterial small subunit ribosomal RNA
Source: RNAcentral
CCUACGGGAGGCAGCAGUGAGGAAUAUUGGUCAAUGGGCGGGAGCCUGAACCAGCCAAGUCGCGUGAGGGAAGACGGUCCUAUGGAUUGUAAACCUCUUUAGGCGGGGAGCAAUGCCGGGCACGCGUGCCAGGAGGGAGAGUACCCGCAGCAUAAGCAUCGGCUAACUCCGUUCCAGCAGCCGCGGUAAUACGGAGGAUGCGAGCUGUAUCCGGAUUUAUUGGGUUUCAAGGGUGCGUAGGCGGAUUUUUAAGUCAGCGGUAAAAUGUCCGGGCUCAACCCGGGCCGGCCGUUGAGACAGGGGAUCUUGAGUGGGCGAGAAGUAUGCGGAAUGCGUGGUGUAGCGGUGAAAGGCAUAGAUAUCACGCAGAACUCCGAUUGCGAAGGCAGCAUACCGGCGCCCGACUGACGCUGAGGCACGAAAGCGUGGGGAUCGAACAGGAUUAGAUACCCCUGUAGUC